RNAcentral lists this ribosomal RNA (396 nucleotides) under uncultured bacterium. Its description in RNAcentral is "bacterial SSU rRNA". It matches the Rfam family "Bacterial small subunit ribosomal RNA", at positions 363 to 775 of the family's 1533-position model. The record is from RNAcentral.
AUUGGUUAAUGUGCGAAAGCGCGAACCAGCAACGCCGCGUGUGCGAUGAAGGCCUUCGGGUCGUAAAGCACUUUUUGCAAGGAAGAGGAAGGACGGUACCUGCAGAAUAAGUCUCGGCUAACUACGUGCCAGCAGCCGCGGUAAAACGUAGGAGACGAGCGUUAUCCGGAUUUACUGGGCGUAAAGCGCGUGCAGGCGGCAUGGCAAGUUGGAUGUGAAAGCUCCCGGCUUAACUGGGAGAGGUCGUUCAAUACUGCCAGGCUUGAGAGUGGUAGAGGGAAGCGGAAUUCCGGGUGUAGUGGUGAAAUGCGUAGAUAUCCGGAGGAACACCAGUGGCGAAAGCGGCUCCCUGGCCCAUCUCUGACGCUCAGACGCGAAAGCUAGGGUAGCAAACGG